AACGGUGGUGAUAAAAAGAGAGAAAAGUCAGAAAACCUAAAAUCUCAAAUCGCAGACACUCUCAUCUCUCUUCCUUCUCAAGCGUCCGAUCAAUCUCUUCCUUGCCCCGAUCUCUCUUCCCAGCUAUCCUUCCUUCCUUCCUCCAAUCAACACCUCUCUAUCUCACUCCCGCCCUUUUUUCGAAUUCUUCUGCCGGGUUUGUUUGUGUAUGUAGAUGGCGGAGUCGCAGCAGGCAAAGAGUCCCGGAGGAGGCGGCGGCGGUGAGAGCGGCGGAGACCAAAGCCCAAGGUCGUCGUCGUCGCACGUGCGGGAGCAAGACAGGUUUCUACCGAUUGCGAACAUAAGCCGAAUAAUGAAAAGAGGGCUCCCUGCUAACGGUAAGAUCGCCAAAGACGCCAAGGAGAUUGUCCAGGAAUGUGUCUCCGAGUUCAUCAGCUUCAUCACCUCCGAAGCGAGUGAUAAGUGCCAAAGAGAGAAACGGAAGACCAUCAAUGGAGAUGAUUUGCUUUGGGCUAUGGCCACUUUAGGUUUUGAAGACUACAUCGAUCCCCUCAAGGUUUACCUCACUAGAUACAGAGAGGUGAAAUCAAUCUUCUUCUGCUUAUUUACUACUCUUUCUAUUUUCAUCAUCAAGAGUGUGUUUUUUUGGAGUUCACUAACUUACUCUGUUUUUGCCCUUUGUUCCACUACUUGGAAAAUCUCAGAUGGAGGGUGACACAAAGGGAUCAGCCAAAGGCGGGGAUGCGAAUGCAAAGAGAGAUGGCCAAUCAAGCCAAAAUGGCCAGUUCUCGCAGCUUGCUCACCAAGCCUCUUUCUCACAAGCUCCUUACGGAAACUCUCAAGGUCAGCAUAUGAUGGUUCCAAUGCCGGGCACAGACUAGUAUGAUGGUGUUCCAAAAAGGCUCGUCUGUAUAUUAUUUGUGUGUCGUAAAAGGAUGUGUUUUUGCUAUGCAUAACUGUGACAAUAAUCAUCUCAUUGUUUGUUUGUUUGUUUUCCCUUUGGAUUGUUCUGAACAAGUUGAGAAAUUCAUAUUUAUAUUUGGUUUGUUCGAUUA
This is an RNA transcript of Raphanus sativus (radish), 1055 nucleotides long. It is a transcript of the gene named nuclear transcription factor Y subunit B-8, with no coding region annotated. Lineage: Eukaryota; Viridiplantae; Streptophyta; Magnoliopsida; Brassicales; Brassicaceae. The record is from RefSeq and is a predicted model, not a curated record. The transcript is spliced from 6 exons.